RNAcentral lists this long non-coding RNA (341 nucleotides) under Lathyrus oleraceus (garden pea). RNAcentral's name for it is "Pisum sativum (pea) long non-coding RNA (PSAT_LNC028803)". The record is from RNAcentral. Lineage: Eukaryota; Viridiplantae; Streptophyta; Magnoliopsida; Fabales; Fabaceae.
UCCAUCUCAUAGAAACCAAUACCAAUUAUCGAUAGUGAUUUGUUUGUUUGUGUAAAAGUGAAGAUAUCAUUUUAAUUCAAAUCUAUUGUAGUUCAUUUUUUACUUUUGAGUGUGCAGGUAGUUUCUUUUGGUCUUCACUUCAAUUUUCUAGAAUUCUAGGAAGUGAUACAAUGUAUUUUUAGCAUUUAUACUCAUUUCAAAUAGUGUUUUUUAGAAUUCUAAGAAUCAAACUGCUAGCACAUCAACCAAACCCACACUGAUGUAAAAUAGCCAGAAAGCUCCGAAUAUCUUCACCCUUCAACUCAAUGCAAAAUCAGCUUUUAGUAUCCAGUAUGAUAUUC